GACGAACGCUGGCGGCGUGCUUAACACAUGCAAGUCGAACGGAAAGGCCUGCUUUCCCUUGUGGAUUGCGGGUACUCGAGUGGCGAACGGGUGAGUAACACGUGAGUGAUCUGCCCCCAACUUGGGUAUAAGCCUGGGAAACUGGGUCUAAUUCCCGAUAGGACUGCAGGGUGGUGCCUGUGGUGGAAAACGAUUUUCUAGUGGUUGGGGAUGAGCUCGCGGCCUAUCAGCUUGUUGGUGGGGUAAUGGCCUACCAAGGCGGCGACGGGUAGCCGGCCUGAGAGGGUGGACAGUCACAUUGAGACUGAGAUACGACCCAGACGCCUACGGGAGGCAGCAGUGGGGAAUAAUGCACAAUGGGCGGAAGGCUGAUGCAGCGACGCCGCGUGGAGGAUGACGGCCUUCGGGUUGUAAACUCCUUUCGACCGCGAGGAAGCCACCUGGUUGGAAGGGUGGUGACGGUAGUGGUAGAAGAAGCACCGGCUAACUACGUG
This 494-nucleotide ribosomal RNA is filed under the name uncultured bacterium. RNAcentral describes it as "partial 16S ribosomal RNA". It matches the Rfam family "Bacterial small subunit ribosomal RNA", at positions 28 to 507 of the family's 1533-position model. The record is from RNAcentral.